This is a long non-coding RNA of Trematomus bernacchii (emerald rockcod), 1127 nucleotides long. RefSeq lists it as uncharacterized. The transcript is spliced from 4 exons. NCBI's taxonomy places the organism in Eukaryota, Metazoa, Chordata, Actinopteri, Perciformes, Nototheniidae. The record is from RefSeq and is a predicted model, not a curated record.
CCCGCAUGACGCCGUCCCCCACCACAGACAGAACCGUCGAGACGACGGAGGAAGAAGCGCCGCCAGCGAACGCACACGUCAGAGCAGAGCGCGGUGACCAAUGGCGCGGACGGGGACCUCCCCCCAGGAUUCAUCUACAAGGUGAAAGCUGUGCAUGAAUACGUUGCCACUGACGGCGAUGAGCUGGAGCUGAAGGUGGGAGACUCUGUGCUGGUUCUGGCCUUUGAAAACCCGGACGAACAGGACGACGGCUGGCUCCUGGGUGUGCAGGAGACUCACUGGUUGCAGAACAAAGAUAUUUCAAUCAAAGGUGUUUUCCCUGAGAACUUUACUCAGAAGGUUUGAGGUUCAUGCACCAGAAGUACUUUGCCCCAAACUCUUCAGAAUUAUAGAUAGAACUGAGUUGAAACGUGUAUCAGUACAUGAUUCCAAAUAUGCGCUGAAAUACAAGGACAUCUAGACGGCUACGGUCUCUCAUGAAAACAUAGAUAACUUAUUAACCCAACUCCCUUUUGGUCAAUGAAGCGCAAUCCUCUAAAUUAAAUUAAUAAUAUUGUUUUAAUUUCCUUUCCUGAAUUAUUUAUAUGCUGAAAUCAAAACUCAUGUCAUGAAUGUAUUGAAUGAAUGUCAAAAUGUUUUAUGUAUCGUCAUCAGGUUUUUGGAAAAAAAUAUGUUAUGAGAACUUUUCACGGUUCCUUGCAUGAAGCAUUUGAUUUUAUUGUCAUUUAUUUUGUAACACUGUGACGACGGGUGGUUUUGCUGGAAGAAAUGUGGCUCAGAUUGAAAAAAAUUCAGAUGACCCAACUCAGAGCCCUGGGGAACGCCACAGGUCUAAACAACAUUAUCAAAAUCUAUUACAGUUUCUUGUAGGACUUUCAAAAGGGAACAUUAGUUUUUCAUUUAUUUUACCGGCCAUUUUGAAGACAUGACUUAAAGUGUGGCUUACAUUUUCUAACAACUUUUAUUUAGAUUUUUGAAUCAUCUUUACGUUGAUGGAUAAAACGGAUAACCCCACGCAAACUGUAUUUUUACAUUGUGUGGGAUUAACACAUAAGGAAUCAGUCGAAGUGGUUAAUGUCGCACCAUUUGUUGGAUCAAGUCAGUGUCAUUAAAGAUGAAUAAAACAA